GAUAAAAGGUACUCCGGGGAUAACAGGCUGAUGACGCCCAAGCGUCCAUAGCGACGGCGUCGUUUGGCACCUCGAUGUCGGCUAAUCACAUCCUGGGGCUGGCGCAGGUCCCAAGGGUAUGGCUGUUCGCCAUUUAAAGUGGUACGUGAGCUGGGUUCAGAACGUCGUGAGACAGUUUGGUCCCUAUCUACCGUGCGUGUUGGAAACUUGAGAGGAUCUGUCCCUAGUACGAGAGGACCGGGAUGGACGCACCUCUGGUGCACCAGUCGUCACGCCAGUGGCGCAGCUGGGUAGCUAUGUGCGGACGGGAUAAACGCUGAAAGCAUCUAAGCGUGAAACCCCCCUCAAAACCAGGUUUCCCUUGAGAGCCGUGAUAGACCAUCACGUAAUAGGCCGGGUGUGGAAGCGGUGUGAGCCGCGAAGCUGACCGGUCCUAAUCGCUCGAUCGGCUUGAUCGUGCCUCUCCU
Molecule: ribosomal RNA, 467 nt
Filed under: Hydrogenophilaceae bacterium
Lineage: Bacteria; Pseudomonadati; Pseudomonadota; Hydrogenophilia; Hydrogenophilales; Hydrogenophilaceae
Description: partial 23S ribosomal RNA
Rfam family: Bacterial large subunit ribosomal RNA
Source: RNAcentral